GUGCCAGCCGCCGCGGUAAUACGUAGGGCGCAAGCGUUGUCCGGAAUUAUUGGGCGUAAAGAGCUCGUAGGCGGCCUGUUGCGUCCGCUGUGAAAUCCCGGGGCUCAACCCCGGGCCUGCAGUGGAUACGGGCUGGCUAGAGGCAGGCAGGGGAGAACGGAAUUCCUGGUGUAGCGGUGAAAUGCGCAGAUAUCAGGAGGAACACCGGUGGCGAAGGCGGUUCUCUGGGCCUGUUCUGACGCUGAGGAGCGAAAGCGUGGGUAGCAAACAGGAUUAGAUACCCUUGUAGUCC
Molecule: ribosomal RNA, 292 nt
Filed under: uncultured bacterium
Lineage: Bacteria
Description: partial 16S ribosomal RNA
Rfam family: Bacterial small subunit ribosomal RNA
Source: RNAcentral